AACGAACGCUGGCGGCAGGCUUAACACAUGCAAGUCGAACGAUGUAGCAAUACAUAGUGGCGCACGGGUGAGUAACGCGUGGGAAUAUACCUUAUAGUGGGGACUAACUUUGGGAAACUAAAGCUAAUACCGCAUACGCCCGAGAGGGGAAAGAUUUAUCGCUAUAAGAUUAGCCCGCGUGAGAUUAGGUAGUUGGUGGGGUAAUGGCCUACCAAGCCUACGAUCUCUAGCUGGUCUGAGAGGAUGAUCAGCCACACUGGAACUGAGACAAGGUACAUACUCCUACGGGAGGAAGCAGUGGGUAAUCUUGGGUAAUAGAGGAAACUCUGACCCAGCCAGGCCGCGUGAAUGAUGUAGGCCUUAGGUUUGUAAAGUUCUUUCGCCGAUGAAGAUAAUGACGGUAGUCGGAGAAGAAGCCCCGGCUAACUUCGUGCCAGCCGCCGCAGUAA
Molecule: ribosomal RNA, 449 nt
Filed under: uncultured bacterium
Lineage: Bacteria
Description: partial 16S ribosomal RNA
Rfam family: Bacterial small subunit ribosomal RNA
Source: RNAcentral